GUAAUGUUUAUUUAUUCUUUAUAGCCAAAAAACUCAGAUCUACUAAAGUUUAUUAGUACUAUCAAUCCUAAUCAAGACUGUUUCACUUCCGGGUAUUCGAGUUGACGCAGAAAGGAUUCAACGUAACCAAUAAAGGUUAAUUAUUGUAUUUUCUUUGUUGGCGCGGUCUGUUAUCCAGUGAAUGUCUUAUAUAGAUAAAUGAUAAAACAAAAUAGUCAGUAUUUUAUAUAUUGCAACAGUGCACAAUAUGUAAAAACACCAUUUUUGAAUUUGCAUAUUGCUAUUAAAAUCGAAAAUACAAUGAACGCAAAAGUACACGGACCCAAAUGUAUCAUAUGUUUAUAAACUUGUUCAUGUUAAGACAAAUAACUUAAUGACCAGAAGAGCAUUGUUUACGUAUAAUAAUAUCAGAACUGGGUGACCAAAAAAGAAAAACGUGCAGUUGUCAGUGAGCAGAAAAGUUCUCGUCAGAUUGGUGCUAGCUUAGCAUGAGGGAGACUGAAGUAGUAACUAGCUUUCAACACGAGCCAAACAAACAUAUCGUGUUCCCUUCGCAAAGAUACUUCAUACGGUAGUAAUACAGGUGUAUCACACGUACCGUCAACUGCUUGUUAUUAUGCCUCCUGUCACUUAGUGCAGGUUUUCUACUGUCUCUUCUUUUUAAUGUCCACGCUCGAUGAGAAAGCUAACGAUGCCAAUUCUCUUUACGUUUAGGGGAAGAUGGUCCGAGCAGAAGAGGAGCACUGCAACAGCUCUGAGUCUGAGUCUUCUUCCUUCUUUAGAGCUCCAGCCUCUAACCCAGACUCUGACCAAAGCAGAGGCCAAAGCCCAGUCCAGUGCCCAGUCCAGUGUGUGAGAGGAACCACGAUGACAAGCCUCUCAAACAAGGUAAGGUUACGUUAUCCUUUAUACUUUAUUCCCUUGGGAGAUUUUUUGUAAUUUUUUUUUUUUUUGCAAGUUUAUUUGCAGAGCACACUUCAUACACAAGGCAAUUCAAAGUGCUUCACAGUUGAAUCAAAUUAUAAUAAGCAGAUAAAAUCAAUCCAUAAAAC
RNAcentral lists this long non-coding RNA (1052 nucleotides) under Neogobius melanostomus (round goby). RNAcentral's name for it is "lncRNA (ENSNMLG00000004450.1)". Lineage: Eukaryota; Metazoa; Chordata; Actinopteri; Gobiiformes; Gobiidae. The record is from RNAcentral.